RNAcentral lists this transfer RNA (72 nucleotides) under Camelus bactrianus (Bactrian camel). It matches the Rfam family "tRNA". From Rfam's summary of the family: Transfer RNA (tRNA) molecules are approximately 80 nucleotides in length. Their secondary structure includes four short double-helical elements and three loops (D, anti-codon, and T loops). Lineage: Eukaryota; Metazoa; Chordata; Mammalia; Artiodactyla; Camelidae. The record is from Rfam by way of RNAcentral. RNAcentral also lists the same sequence under 1 other name.
GAGGGUAUAGCUCAGUGGUAGAGUAUGCCCUUAGCAUGCACAAGGUCCUGGGUUCAAUCCCCAGUACCUCCA